This 72-nucleotide transfer RNA is filed under the name Daphnia magna. Its description in RNAcentral is "tRNA-Glu". It matches the Rfam family "tRNA". From Rfam's summary of the family: Transfer RNA (tRNA) molecules are approximately 80 nucleotides in length. Their secondary structure includes four short double-helical elements and three loops (D, anti-codon, and T loops). The record is from RNAcentral. Lineage: Eukaryota; Metazoa; Arthropoda; Branchiopoda; Diplostraca; Daphniidae.
UCCCAUAUUGUCUAGUGGUUAGGAUACCUGGCUCUCAUCCAGGAGGCCCGGGUUCAAUUCCCGGUAUGGGAA